AGUAGAGACGGGGUUUCACCAUGUUGGCCAGGCUGGUCUUGAACUCCUGAAGAACUGUAUUUUUUUUUUUGCUAACACCCGCGUCUUCUACUCCAGCCUUGCUUGGGUGAUGGUCCCACCAGGCUUCCAAGAUGGACUCCUCACUUCUUCUCAUUCCCAGAAUUUACCUGCUGGCCAAGCCUCUGCCUGGAAUCUCCCAGUUCAUCCUCCCUCUCCACACCUGUGAUCUCUGCAGAGGUACUAUCAUUGCCCCAUUUUACAGAUGAAGAAACAGAGGCUUCGGCUGCUUGCCCGAGAUCCUGCGGCGGUUCUGGAGGUCAGACGUCUAAAAUCAAGGUGUCAACAGGACUGCGUUCCUUUCUGGAGGAAACAGGAAACCUUCACCCCAGCCCUGUUCCCUGCCUCUGUCCCAUGCUUGUGGUCUCCAGCGAGGAAGGCUUCUCUGAGCUUCAAAAGGCAUUCUGGGUGCUCUAGUUGAAGGGCAGCUUUCAUGCCUGCGGUUCCCUCAUCGGGGCAUGAGCUCUUCCACCACGUUUCUACUGACCUCUCCUGACCCCCACGGCUGGGUCAGGGCCCGGUGCAGUCCCCGACACGGCGCUGAUGGUCCAGUGAUGGCCUUGCCAGGUGACAUGUCCCUCUGCCUGACCCCCACCCUGGGCACUGGGAGCCCCUCAAGGGCUGGGACCAGGUGGGUCUUGGAGACUGCUCCGUCCCAACGCCUGGCUUUGGGCCCUGCAUGCAGCUGUUACUAAAUAAGUAUUUAUUGAA
Molecule: non-coding RNA, 768 nt
Organism: Macaca mulatta (Rhesus monkey)
Lineage: Eukaryota; Metazoa; Chordata; Mammalia; Primates; Cercopithecidae
Source: RefSeq, a predicted model, not a curated record